UACGGAGGAUGCAAGCGUUAUCCGGAAUGAUUGGGCGUAAAGCGUCCGCAGGUGGCUGUGUAAGUCUGCUGUUAAAGAGUGAGGCUCAACCUCAUAAAGGCAGUGGAAACUACAUGGCUAGAGUGCGUUCGGGGCAGAGGGAAUUCCUGGUGUAGCGGCGAAAUGCGUAGAGAUCAGGAAGAACACCGGUGGCGAAAGCGCUCUGCUAGGCCGCAACUGACACUGAGGGACGAAAGCUAGGGGAGCGAAUGGG
Molecule: ribosomal RNA, 253 nt
Filed under: uncultured bacterium
Lineage: Bacteria
Description: partial 16S ribosomal RNA
Rfam family: Bacterial small subunit ribosomal RNA
Source: RNAcentral